GACGAACGCUGGCGGCGUGCUUAACACAUGCAAGUCGAACGGAAAGGCCCUGCUUGCAGGGUACUCGAGUGGCGAACGGGAGAGUAACACGUGGGUGAUCUGCCCUGCACUUCGGGAUAAGCCUGGGAAACUGGGUCUAAUACCGGAUAGGAGCCAUUUUUAGUGUGAUGGUUGGAAAGUUUUUUCGGUGUAGGAUGAGCUCGCGGCCUAUCAGCUUGUUGGUGGGGUAAUGGCCUACCAAGGCGGCGACGGGUAGCCGGCCUGUGAGGGUGGACGGCCACAUUGGGUCUGAGAUACGGCCCAGACUCCUACGGGAGGCAGCAGUGGGGAAUAUUGCACAAUGGGCGCCAGCCUGAUGCAGCGACGCCGCGUGGGGGAUGACGGCCUUCGGGUUGUAAACUCCUUUCGCUAGGGACGAAGCUUUUUGUGACGGUACCUAGAUAAGAAGCACCGGCUAACUACGUG
RNAcentral lists this ribosomal RNA (465 nucleotides) under uncultured bacterium. RNAcentral's name for it is "partial 16S ribosomal RNA". It matches the Rfam family "Bacterial small subunit ribosomal RNA", at positions 28 to 507 of the family's 1533-position model. The record is from RNAcentral.